GUCAGACUCACCUGUCUACCAGCUUGGGCAGACGCUUGCCUUGAGUCCUGAGGCUAGGCCACAGCUGGAGCAGCAGAUAGAAGGGACAGGGUUGCACUUAUAACACCACUAUCCUCCCAGCCCUGGUUUUAUCAUCAUCAUCGAGAAAAAUACAAUUAAUCAGCAGUGAUCAAAGUCUAGUAGAACACCUGCUUAACAACUUCCUGCCCACCCAUCACUCAGACAAAA
Molecule: long non-coding RNA, 228 nt
Filed under: Homo sapiens (human)
Lineage: Eukaryota; Metazoa; Chordata; Mammalia; Primates; Hominidae
Description: HSALNT0274079
Source: RNAcentral